GGCUGCUAAUGGGUUUGACUGAGGAUCAAGAGAAGGAAAAAAAACGUUUUCUGGGCACCUGCAAUCUCCAAACGAGAUACCCACAGAAAGCUACAGCUGAUGGAGGAGCAUCAGCCGAAACCGGAUCCAGCUCAGGAUAAUCGCUUCAAGACAAGAACCCAGAAACUCCUCAGCAUCUUCCACAGUGACCUCUUUCAGGCUCUCCUUGAUAUUCAGCAGUUCUAUGAGGUGUCGCUGGACAAUCAGCCAGUGCCAUGCUACCCCAAGAAAUGUCCUCUCAAG
Chiloscyllium plagiosum (whitespotted bambooshark) is the source of this 282-nucleotide non-coding RNA. The record is from RefSeq and is a predicted model, not a curated record. NCBI's taxonomy places the organism in Eukaryota, Metazoa, Chordata, Chondrichthyes, Orectolobiformes, Hemiscylliidae.